AUUGAACGCUGGCGGAAUGCUUUACACAUGCAAGUCGAACGGCAGCACGGGAGCUUGCUCCUGGUGGCGAGUGGCGAACGGGUGAGUAAUGCGUCGGAACGUACCGAGUAAUGGGGGAGUAACGCAGCGAAAGACUGUGCUAAUACCGCAUACGCCCUGAGGGGAAAGGUAGGGGAGUCGCAAGACCUCACGUUAUUCGAGCGGCCGACGUCUGAUUAGCUAGUUGGUGGGGUAAAGGACCGUACCAAGGCGACGAUCAGUAGCGGGUCGUGAGAGGAGUGACUCCGCCACACUGGAACUGAGACACGGUCCAGACUCCUACGGAGGCAGCAGUGGGGAAUUUUGGACAAUGGGCGAAAGCCUGAUCCAGCAAUGCCGCGUGAGUGAUGAAGGCCUUAGGGUUGUAAAGCUCUUUUACCUAGGGAUGAUAAUGACAGUACCUGGAGAAUAAGCUCCGGCUAACUCCGUGCCAGCAGCCGCGGUAAUGU
Molecule: ribosomal RNA, 488 nt
Filed under: uncultured bacterium
Lineage: Bacteria
Description: bacterial SSU rRNA
Rfam family: Bacterial small subunit ribosomal RNA
Source: RNAcentral